ACAAGAAAUACGAAGACUACUCGUAUUUCAACGUUACUUUUAGCUGCGGGGAAGCCCAGGUUUGUCGUACUUGUCCGAGUGGCGGCCGAAUUGUGUGUGGCUCUAGCGCGAGAAACGGCGAUCAAUCUGAAUUCGAAAAUGUUUGUGCUAUGAACCGAUACAAUUGUUUGACUGGAAGCGACUACAGAAUAAUCGCAAAUGGCUUUUGUCCAGGCAGAGGUUAACCGGUUUAACUUGGAUUUACAAACCUUUCAUGAUAAAAUUAUUACCUACAUAUGUAUGUAAUAGUAAAAAAUUGUGCCUACAUGUUUUUUCAAUUUUCUUGAUGAUAAUAAAAUAUUAAUGUUA
This 348-nucleotide long non-coding RNA is filed under the name Agrilus planipennis (emerald ash borer). Its description in RNAcentral is "uncharacterized LOC108732262, transcript variant X1". Lineage: Eukaryota; Metazoa; Arthropoda; Insecta; Coleoptera; Buprestidae. The record is from RNAcentral.